This 334-nucleotide ribosomal RNA is filed under the name uncultured bacterium. RNAcentral describes it as "bacterial SSU rRNA". It matches the Rfam family "Bacterial small subunit ribosomal RNA", at positions 30 to 355 of the family's 1533-position model. The record is from RNAcentral.
AUUGAACGCUGGCGGCAUGCCUAACACAUGCAAGUCGAACGGCAGCACGGUGUGUAGCAAUACACAUGGGUGGCGAGUGGCGGACGGGUGAGUAGAAAGUAGGGAUCUGCCUUAUAGAUUGGGAUAACUUGGGGAAACUCGAGCUAAUACCGGAUAAGCACUACGGUGGAAAGCAUGGGACCGAAAGGCCAUGCGCUAUAAGAUGAACCUACGUCGGAUUAGCUAGUUGGUUAGGUAAAGGCUGACCAAGGCGAAGAUCCGUAGCUGGUCUGAGAGGAUGAUCAGCCACACUGGGACUGAGACACCGGCCCAGACUCCUACGGGAGGCAGCAGU